AGAGAAGGCAUGAGCCACUGUCUGAGCCAGCAUCAGAGCGAGUAAAGGGAUGGAGUCUGGCCUGUUACAGGGCAGGGAACUGUCGUAGCAGCCAACGCUGACCCUGUGCUGCAGCUGCAGAGAGGACUGUGGUCUGAGUGCUGCCUGUCAUGUGUGCUGCCCUGGCAGGAUUUAAAAAGAAGAAAGGAGAGAAAGGGAUUCCUGCUCCAUUGUCCUUCUGCAAGUGGAAAAGGGCUGAACUAAUUCAAACCAAACUCAGAACAGAAACUCCUCCCAGGCGGAGACAUUUUUCUGUCAAGUUUCAGCCCUGGGAGAAUUUUUACAGCUGAGCAAUAAACUCUUGAAACAGAGGUUAAGGGCCUCACUCGCUCCAGGCUCCUAAUACAAGGAGCAGCGCAGAGCAAUGCACAUUCUUUAAUCCAUAGGAAUGUGUCAGGCUGGCAGGAAGCUGAAGGUGCCAGGGGAUGGAGAGGGUUAAUCACCGCAAUUGCCCAACAGACAUUUCCUAACAUUGUCACUUUUUACCCACAAGUUACAAUUCCUCUGUUACUAUAGAGGCAAGAUGUUGAUACUGGAUUCAUUUUCUGGGUUUUAUUCCUUUUUGUCAUUUUUCCCAUGAACUAAUAAGCCACAGUGGAUUUGAAAGUAUGAGCAAAUGUGAACAUUAUACAAAGCACUUUUAUGUUCUAUUGACAUUUUCUUCCCACCCUAAUAAUUUAGAGCUGUUAACAUAAAAAAAAAAUUAAGAUGAUCAUACUUCCCAUCACUUUCAUUUCCCAAGUCUAUGAAGGAAGAAUCAUGAGUAAUUUCCCAUAGUUAUUGUUUGCAGCACAACACAUGGUCUCAAUUACUGGGAUAAGAAACAUGGAGAGGGUAUUGGUGAGGAUAAAUGAUUUAUCUGUGCAUUUCAUUCAAAAUUCAUUUUCCAUGCCAUAGUUUAUAUUAUAUUGAUCAACCAUCAUCUUUCUUAUUUCACUUUAUAAACAUAACCCAGCUAUUCUGAGCAGGGCACCGGGUUACAAGAGAUCAGUUUGCUGAUAUAUUUCUGGAGCAGUGAAGCACACAGAGUGACCCUUGAUCAAACCUACCUGCCAUUAAAGGAGUCUGCUCAAACGGGCAUCUCUGGACAGAUCUGUACUAAGAGGGCACAAAAUAACUCUUUGCCCAUAGCCAAUCUCAGCAGUGUGAGCUCCAUCUGUGGAGCAGAUGUACGUCAGCCUCGUGGUUUGUCGCUCCUGCACAGGUAGCAGGCAGGUAUGGUCAGUGUGUGACAGUGCUGACCAGCACAUGCUGUAAAGCAAUGGCUUCAGCACAUACCAGAGCAGCUUGGAUGUGGCAGAACUAUCAUUUCAGGACUUUGAUCUUGCAGUGGAUUUGAACAGCAUUGCGCUGCCUGGCUGAGAUGAGUUGAUGGCACAGCUGAAAUUCACAGCAAACAGAGAAUUCUGUUUCUUGCAGACUUUGCAGGGGUCAGGGUUUAGCCCCGCUGACUUUAAUACCAGGAUUCCGUGCUCUUUCACCCCACCUUCCUGAUGCUCAAAGUGCAAUGAGCUGCUUCUCUCAUAGGACUAACCUUGGAUAGGGAUGAUGAGGAACACAAGGGGACUGCUUAGGCGGCUGGUAAAGAGGUCCCACUUAGUAAAUCCUUUACCAUUUCUCUAAUUUUCAAAUGAAUUCCAGGCUGUUCUGUGGAGAACCCAGAGCUGUGCUAUUUGUUAGCUUGAAUGAAUCGAACACAACUAAUUGGCCUUUUCCGCCAGAGCGUUGUGCAACUCCUGCCAGACUUGGCCUUCAACCUGGGCCCAGCGGUUGUGUUGAGACCCACAAUUUCCUCCCAUGGUUUUAUCUAUGCUGUCAUUGUGGAGAAGAAAAUGCUCUGGUUCCCAGCAUAUUCAGAAAUAGAGGAGCGUGUAGCAGACUAUGUGUAGACAACAACAUGAUCUUUCGUAAAUUCAGCCUUAUAAAUGAUGUAAUCAAAUUACAGGGGCAAACAAACAGCGGGCAAGUUCACGCAGUUGGCUUAGUUGAAAUACAGUUCUACUUCCUGAUAAGAAGCAUCUUGUCUGUGCUCUGAAAGCACUCUGAGAGCAUGCACGGUGCUAUUUUUCAGCCUUUUCUUUUCUUUUCUUUUUUUUUUUUUUUUUGCACUUCCCCAUCAUUGCUAGGUGCUGCUUUCAGCUCUAAUCUGUGCAAUAUGGACACGACACAGUGAUUAAAAAUGAAGAAUGGGUCCGUUUAGGCAGCUUUUCUCACACUCCCCUCCAUCCCUCCAUCCCAAAGCUUUCUUGGCUUUAGCAGAACAGUCACUGGUGUAACACAUGGCAGCAUCUCAUCUCCAGGGUGAUUUGAUGUAAAAGCAUUACGGAAAGUGCUUCAUAUCUUCUACUGGGGCUACUUCCUAGUGCUAGGAGAACUUGGGAAAAGCACUGAGAUCUCUUACAGUGGCAGAUUUGAAAAGUGCAAUUAAAUAUUGAUAGUGAAAAUCUUUUGGUGACGGGUUUUAUGCCUUUGGCAGUACAGUUUCAACACGGGGAGCGGGUAAUCUGUUAAACCCUCUCUUGCCUCAUUACACUUUUGAAUUCAAAAUGAGAAAUUGUCUGUAAGGAUUUAUUAAUCUACACUCAGUACUUGCUAAGGUCACACAAUGAUCUGGUUCUGAUGUGCUUUGGGGAUUUUUCUGUUUGACUCAUUUGGUAACUGCUUACCCACCCCUCAAAUAGGCUGCACCCUCCGAAGAGGAGCCACAGUGAGCCACAGUCCCCCGGCCCUUAAACCACAACAAGCAGAUUAAACUUUUGUCCAACAAAAUGUUUUUUUCCUACUGAAUAUUCGCACAAUUUCUUGAUUUGAAAACUGAAAAUAAUUUCUAGAACAUAUUUUCCAGUUCUGCUUGCAGUAUCACAAAUGUAACUACCCUCAGAAGGACAAUUUUUGCACUGGAAAGACAGGUACCAGAUUUUGCUCAUCUUAAAGACCUUGCCUUCCACAUCCAUCCUGCAAACCAGCCAUGCCUGGAUCACAUCUGUGAGCUUGGAGCAGCUGAAAUAACUAUACCUUGCCCAGCUGAGUAAGAGACUAUUUUUUGCUAGUGGAGAUGGGAGCUGGUAAGCAAGCAGGAGAGCUUUGCCCCAUGCAAUGACCUCUGCCUCUGGAUUGGGAUGAAAUGGGUGAGCUUGAGUCUUUGCUCAUUCAUGAAGGAAUGAACACAGCAGGAAGGCGGCAAAGAGGGAGAAGUAAUAGUUUGCUUGACUGCACACAGAACGAAACCUAGACAAAUAUAGCAAGUGUGUGAUAGUUAUCCAUGUACCAAAGCUUGAAAUUCUGCGUUCCUCUCUGCUCUUCUUUUUGUCAUUUUAACCACCUUCCUUGCUAUGCUUUUUACCUAAGGAAUUUCCUUGUUGCCCUUUUAACAGUGGAGAACCUAGGCCAGGGAUAUCACUGCCAAGGCCCCAAAGCCUGCUGGUCCCAGAGCUCCCCACUGGGCCCCAGUUCCAGUAACCCACUUGCUUGUUGGCCCAGGAGCACCAGCUGAGGGAGUAGGCUUUGCACUAAAGCUUGUAGCCUGGUGGAGCUGGCUACCACGAGAGCAGAUGGCUGUUGAUACAUGUCAAAAAACUUCUGAGCAGCCUUCCUGCAGCCAGCAGAGUCAGUGCUGCUGAGUUGCUAUUCCCUUUCUCCUUUCUCCUCGUUUCCUGUUGUUUCAGCUUUGCACUGAUGUGAAUACAGACUGACAGUGCGGUUCCUUGUCUGCUCUGCGCUGGCACCUUCCUUCUCCCUUCCUGCCCAUCCCUCCAGUCACGUGUUCCUCAAAGCAGCAGCAAAUUGUGCUAUCACCUUCUUCUCUGGAUUCAGCACUUACAUUCCCAGUUCAGCUGUUCAUAUUUUGCCUGGUAGUUGGAGCCAGAUCCUGCUCAAAUAUUUUCCAUCUACAGUUUAUGUUUGGCACAAAAAGAAUCUCAUGAUCAAGGGGUUUAAUGAUGAUACAUACUUUUUUAUUUAAAAGGACAAGUUUCUGUCUGGAGAUCCCUUUAAAACUCCUGAAGGAAUCUAAAGAAAUCUGCAUGAAGAAGUCUUCUGAGCUCUUUUCUGUCUUCCAGGUAUCCGUGCAGUGGCAGACCUGGCAGGACUGGCAAGACGACACCUGUAGCCCCAUUGGACACCUCUGGGCUGAGAACUGAUGCUGCAGUGCUCUGAAUUGGAGGGGUUCGUUGAAGCAACAGUGACUUAACAUCCACUUCUGCAUGCUCUGGCCGUCAAAGUUACUGACUGA
Long non-coding RNA from Gallus gallus (chicken), 4270 nucleotides. RefSeq lists it as uncharacterized. The record is from RefSeq and is a predicted model, not a curated record. NCBI's taxonomy places the organism in Eukaryota, Metazoa, Chordata, Aves, Galliformes, Phasianidae. The transcript has 2 exons.